AGUCGUACCAAGGUUUCUGUAGGUAACCUGCAGAAGGAUCAUUA
RNAcentral lists this ribosomal RNA (44 nucleotides) under Tilletia fusca. RNAcentral's name for it is "partial 18S ribosomal RNA". Lineage: Eukaryota; Fungi; Basidiomycota; Exobasidiomycetes; Tilletiales; Tilletiaceae. The record is from RNAcentral.